UAACAGUUUUUUCAUGGCGACUUAUGGAGUUUUGCCGGUGUCAGUAUUAGUUUUAUGUUUCCCAUUUCAGUCGUCUCCAGUUCCCGUUCAUAAUUGAAUAACUUCAUUCCUUAGUUAUCAGACCUGGCAACUCAGCAUCCUUGGGUCGUCUAUCCGGAUUCCGGUGCCUUCACUUACUAUCAGUAGAGCCAUCUGCUUGUCACUCUGCUGACUUUCUAUUGCUCGCACAAAAAAGACAACCGCAUUCGAUUGGCAUUAUAAAUUAUAUUGGUCCAUUCAGGAAAUAUAAAAAAGAAUUGAAUAGAUUACAGAUGACAAUUUCCUGUUAUUGCCUUGCCAAUGAAUGUUUCGGAAAAUGUGGUCAAACACAAAUAGCUGGGUGGAUUAUAUUGGACAAUUGAUUUCAAAUAUAAGGAGGCAUAUGUAGUCUUUUGCUUGAGUCCUUUGUUCCGUUGGCAGAUAUCUUCUUUUGAGUAUUGAACAUCACAAAAGGGUCUGCGAAUCUGCGAUACAAAAUUACUAUAGCACUUACUCAAUUUCCGUUGAAGGAAUAUAACAAAUUUCACAAGGAAUGUUUCACUUUGCCAAUUACACCAUAACCACAAUUCUGAACAGAGAAACGUCAAUCGAAACCCACAAUUUUUGUAUUCCUCAUCUCAUUAUUUUGCAGAAGUCAAUCUCUUUAUUCCUCUAGAGUGUAAUGAGUAUAUGUAAGAAAGAAAUCAACAACUGGCAAUCUUUUUUUUUAAUAAAAUUAAUCUGUAAGAUUGCCCUUCGCUUGGGGGACGGCUGCGGCUCUCUCCUGGUCGAGUCCAUUUAAUCCGGAUACAUUGUCGAAAAUAGCACAGCUAAGAAGAUAAUAUUUUACACGCCAAAAUUACCAUCACGUCAUCCACCGUACGGAAUUUCCAUAAUGAGCCAUAAUUUAAUAAAUAAGAUUGGAAAUAAUUUUGAUAGAUUGGAGCUUAUUUGAAGCCCAGUCCGAUUAUUCUAAAAACGGCGAUAAAUAAAGAAAA
Molecule: long non-coding RNA, 1016 nt
Organism: Daphnia pulex (common water flea)
Lineage: Eukaryota; Metazoa; Arthropoda; Branchiopoda; Diplostraca; Daphniidae
Exons: 2
Source: RefSeq, a predicted model, not a curated record